AGAGUUUGAUCAUGGCUCAGGAUGAACGCUAGCUACAGGCUUAACACAUGCAAGUCGAGGGGAAACGACAUCGAAAGCUUGCUUUUGAUGGGCGUCGACCGGCGCACGGGUGAGUAACGCGUAUCCAACCUGCCCACCACUUGGGGAUAACCUUGCGAAAGUAAGACUAAUACCCAAUGAUAUCUCUAGAAGACAUCUGAAAGAGAUUAAAGAUUUAUCGGUGAUGGAUGGGGAUGCGUCUGAUUAGCUUGUUGGCGGGGUAACGGCCACCAAGGCGACGAUCAGGUAGGGUUCUGAGAGGAAGGUCCCCCANAUUGGAACUGAGACACGGUCCAAACUCCUACGGGAGCA
RNAcentral lists this ribosomal RNA (351 nucleotides) under uncultured bacterium. RNAcentral describes it as "bacterial SSU rRNA". It matches the Rfam family "Bacterial small subunit ribosomal RNA", at positions 8 to 349 of the family's 1533-position model. The record is from RNAcentral.